Molecule: ribosomal RNA, 253 nt
Filed under: uncultured bacterium
Lineage: Bacteria
Description: partial 16S ribosomal RNA
Rfam family: Bacterial small subunit ribosomal RNA
Source: RNAcentral
UACGGAGGGUGCAAACGUUGCUCGGAAUCAUUGGGCGUAAAGCGCACGUAGGCGGCCCAGCAAGUCGGGUGUGAAAGCCCUCGGCUUAACCGAGGAAGUGCAUUCGAAACUACUGAGCUUGAAUACUAGAGAGGAUCGCGGAAUUCCCGGUGUAGAGGUGAAAUUCGUAGAUAUCGGGAGGAACACCAGUGGCGAAGGCGGCGAUCUGGACAGAUAUUGACGCUGAGGUGCGAAAGCGUGGGGAGCAAACAGG